GCAGUCGAACGAGUUCUGAUUAUUGAAAGGUGCUUGCAUCUUGAUUUAAUUUUGAACGAGUGGCGGACGGGUGAGUAACACGUGGGUAACCUGCCCUUAAGUGGGGGAUAACAUUUGGAAACAGAUGCUAAUACCGCAUAAAUCCAAGAACCGCAUGGUUCUUGGCUGAAAGAUGGCGUAAGCUAUCGCUUUUGGAUGGACCCGCGGCGUAUUAGCUAGUUGGUGAGGUAACGGCUCACCAAGGCAAUGAUACGUAGCCGAACUGAGAGGUUGAUCGGCCACAUUGGGACUGAGACACGGCCCAAACUCCUACGGGAGGCAGCAGUAGGGAAUCUUCCACAAUGGACGCAAGUCUGAUGGAGCAACGCCGCGUGAGUGAAGAAGGCUUUCGGGUCGUAAAACUCUGUUGUUGGAGAAGAAUGGUCGGCAGAGUAACUGUUGUCGGCGUGACGGUAUCCAACCAGAAAGCCACGGCUAACUACGUGCCAGCAGCCGCGGUAAUACGUAGGUGGCAAGCGUUAUCCGGAUUUAUUGGGCGUAAAGCGAGCGCAGGCGGUUUUUUAAGUCUGAUGUGAAAGCCCUCGGCUUAACCGAGGAAGUGCAUCGGAAACUGGGA
RNAcentral lists this ribosomal RNA (616 nucleotides) under Lacticaseibacillus rhamnosus. Its description in RNAcentral is "bacterial SSU rRNA". It matches the Rfam family "Bacterial small subunit ribosomal RNA", at positions 57 to 638 of the family's 1533-position model. The record is from RNAcentral. Lineage: Bacteria; Bacillati; Bacillota; Bacilli; Lactobacillales; Lactobacillaceae.